CCUACGGGUGGCAGCCGUGGGGAAUAUUGGACAAUGGGGGGAACCCUGAUCCAGCGACGCCGCGUGAGUGAAGAAGUAUUUCGGUAUGUAAAGCUCUAUCAGCAGGGAAGAAAGAAAUGACGGUACCUGACUAAGAAGCCCCGGCUAACUACGUGCCAGCAGCCGCGGUAAUACGUAGGGGGCAAGCGUUAUCCGGAUUUACUGGGUGUAAAGGGAGCGUAGACGGCGAUGCAAGUCUGAAGUGAAAGGCGGGGGCCCAACCCCCGGACUGCUUUGGAAACUGUAUGGCUGGAGUGCAGGAGAGGUAAGUGGAAUUCCUAGUGUAGCGGUGAAAUGCUUAGAUAUUGCGCAGAACUCCGAUUGCGAAGGCAGCAUACCGGCGGCGAUCUGACGCUGAGGCACGAAAGCGUGGGUAUCGAACAGGAUUAGAUACCCCGGUAGUC
Molecule: ribosomal RNA, 443 nt
Filed under: uncultured bacterium
Lineage: Bacteria
Description: partial 16S ribosomal RNA
Rfam family: Bacterial small subunit ribosomal RNA
Source: RNAcentral